UGGGGAAUUUUGGACAAUGGGGGCAACCCUGAUCCAGCCAUUCCGCGUGAGUGAAGAAGGCCUUCGGGUUGUAAAGCUCUUUCGGCAGGAACGAAACGGUGGAGGCUAAUACCUUUCAUCAAUGACGGUACCUGAAGAAGAAGCACCGGCUAACUACGUGCCAGCAGCCGCGGUAAUACGUAGGGUGCGAGCGUUAAUCGGAAUUACUGGGCGUAAAGCGUGCGCAGGCGGUUUCGUAAGACAGAUGUGAAGUCCCCGGGCUUAACCUGGGAACUGCGUUUGUGACUGCGAGACUGGAGUGUGGCAGAGGGGGGUGGAAUUCCACGUGUAGCAGUGAAAUGCGUAGAGAUGUGGAGGAACACCGAUGGCGAAGGCAGCCCCCUGGGUCAACACUGACGCUCAUGCACGAAAGCGUGGGGAGCAAACA
RNAcentral lists this ribosomal RNA (427 nucleotides) under uncultured bacterium. Its description in RNAcentral is "bacterial SSU rRNA". It matches the Rfam family "Bacterial small subunit ribosomal RNA", at positions 355 to 774 of the family's 1533-position model. The record is from RNAcentral.